Molecule: transfer RNA, 92 nt
Filed under: Desulfobacter latus
Lineage: Bacteria; Pseudomonadati; Thermodesulfobacteriota; Desulfobacteria; Desulfobacterales; Desulfobacteraceae
Also listed under: 1 other name
Description: tRNA-Ser
Rfam family: tRNA
About the family: Transfer RNA (tRNA) molecules are approximately 80 nucleotides in length. Their secondary structure includes four short double-helical elements and three loops (D, anti-codon, and T loops).
Source: RNAcentral
GGAGAAGUGACCGAGUGGCUGAAGGUGCUCGCCUGCUAAGCGAGUGGUUGGGGAAACCUGAUCCGAGAGUUCGAAUCUCUCCUUCUCCGCCA